This 138-nucleotide non-coding RNA is filed under the name Thalassiosira punctigera. The record is from RNAcentral. Lineage: Eukaryota; Bacillariophyta; Thalassiosirophyceae; Thalassiosirales; Thalassiosiraceae.
CAGCCGCAGCAAUACCAGCCGCAGCACUGCCAGCCGUAGCACUGCCAGCCGUAGCACUGCCGCCUCCGCCGCGGGUAUGCAGGAGAAAGUGACGCCGGCGCCGGAGCGGGGGCGUGGUAGGGCCAGUGCAUCCCUGGC